GACUAACGCUGGCGGUGUGCUUCAUACAUGCAAGUCGAGCGGGGCUAGUAGCAAUACUAGCUUAGCGGCGGACGGGUGCGUAACGCGUGAACAAUCUGCCUAUCACUGGGGAAUAACAGUUAGAAAUAGCUGCUAAUACCGCAUAUGACCACAGUUCGGCAUCGAACAGGGGUGAAAGAUUUAUCGGUGAUAGAUGAGUUCGCGUACCAUUAGCUAGUUGGAGGGGUAACGGCCCACCAAGGCGAUGAUGGUUAGCCGGCCUGAGAGGGUGAACGGCCACACUGGAACUGAGACACGGUCCAG
Molecule: ribosomal RNA, 303 nt
Filed under: uncultured bacterium
Lineage: Bacteria
Description: bacterial SSU rRNA
Rfam family: Bacterial small subunit ribosomal RNA
Source: RNAcentral